Molecule: long non-coding RNA, 511 nt
Filed under: Vigna radiata
Lineage: Eukaryota; Viridiplantae; Streptophyta; Magnoliopsida; Fabales; Fabaceae
Description: long non-coding RNA (VRAD_LNC010809)
Source: RNAcentral
UUUUUUUCAAUUUAUUAUUUUAUUUAUGAAACCCUAAAAACUAUAAUACUUUCUUCACUCACUGUGUAUACCAAAAAAGUAAUCUCUGCUAUCUCAAAUCACUCUCACNCUACUUGCUCUUAUUUGACGGUGCUCUCACCCUCACUUCACUGAAAUUCUUCAAGGAGCAGGUAAAACACCCUUCCUUUUUUCUUCUCUUUUCUCCACAUUUUUGUUUUCUCACUUCUCUUUCUUUUGUUUUUUUCAAAAACCCUAUAAUGACAAAAAUAGGGGUUUGCGAAUUUGUUUUUUGUUUUGGGGGAUUUGAAGACAUGAAAUGACUUUUUCAUGUUCUGACAUGCAUGUAUCAGAUUUUGUUCAUUUUAUUUAAACAAUUUGAAUAUACAUUAUUUGAACAAGCUCUUUUUGAUAUCUUUGAACUUGGGAAAUUAUUUUACAAAUUAAACUAUUAAUUUUUUGUUGAUGUUGUUGAGUACUGGUUCUCUUUUUUUUUUUUUACUAAUAUUUUUUU